Molecule: long non-coding RNA, 812 nt
Filed under: Zea mays
Lineage: Eukaryota; Viridiplantae; Streptophyta; Magnoliopsida; Poales; Poaceae
Description: long non-coding RNA (ZMAY_LNC004040)
Source: RNAcentral
UUAGCGUUGCAACUUCGAGUAAUUAAAGAACCAUUUUGACUUGCACAACAAAGAAACCAGCAAGUAAAAAAGCAUACUAUUUUACAUGACCCGGGGAAGGGACUUAGCAUAUCGGCCCUAUAUCGGCCCUGCACAUAUCAUCGAGGCUGCCUGGGCUAGUAAAAAAGAAACUAUUUAGCGAGGGAGACGGCCGGGACCAGGAGCGACGCCAAUAUCAUCGGAGGAAAAAUAAAAAAAAAACGACUGGAACCACGGCCGAUGGAAGCUGCCCAGGCUUACACAUGGGAGGUGGCCAGGUCACUGCGAGUCUAGCAGGUCCGGGCUCCAAGGAGAUUUAAGGGGAAAACCUAUAUCCUCUCUAUUUUCAUCAUCCCAACUCGAUAGAACCAUGGGAGCUCUCUUGCACCUGUCCCGCUGUAGCUUGACGAUGCAGAUCCGAAUCAGGUGGACCUACUCUCGUCGCAGUUAGGGAGAAGAGCGUGGUCGAGGGAGACAUUGACGACGACGAAGACUGAGAAGUUGUAAACCCUAGAUACCAGUACGCGACCACGGCGAAUACUGAGAAGUUGAAAAACCCUAGAUACCAGUACGCGCUAUGGUUGAAGAAAAGGCCAUGAUGUUUUGGACGAACCUGCACCAACUGUGGAGACGGGCGGAGCGCACGAGGAGAGAGGACGCACGGCCGACAGUUUCGACGUCGCAUUCGCUGGAGAUCCCAGGUCCUGAGAGGUUCUUUUGGGGAGAAGACAAAGGCGAGUGUGUCCCACUCUGUAUUGUACUGGAAGGCUCUGGACGCAGAGACCAACGCUUAG